UUUUAAUAAAAGAGGCAGUAGCCUAUUUUGUUAAAAAGGGUCCCAAGUUCUCAAGGUUUUCUCCUAUUUUUCUUGGAAAAUUCUUGAUCUACGAAAAUCUAACGGUUCAAAUUCAAAUUCAAUUUCGGAAACGUGAUCUACGAAGCCCGAUCUACGUUUCUACCGAUCGUUUUGAGGAUAGUGUCUUGAUUGGAGAUUUCAAUUGAUUCUCCAAUGUAGAGUCCAAGUGACUAGAAUCCGAGGGGAUGUUCAAGUCAAGAGUCCAAUGCAGCCAGAUGAUAUUCCUCUGGCUGCAGGUACUCCGGUCAUAGUGAUGGUGUUAUAGAUGUGCAAGUGGGAUAUUAUGACCGAAGCUCGCCGUGACGGUCUUAAUUGCAGGACCACGGGUGUCUUCAGUUUUAUAGGUUUUGUUAUGGCUUGUGAUGCUUGUGUCACCUAAUCUAUGUCAAGCCAUUUAUGUUAUGUAUUUAUUAUAUUGAAGAAAGACUUAAACAGAUAGAUGUUAAAUGGCUCUUGUUGUAAUUAAUUGGUGAUAGAUGUUUGAUAUAUGAUUUCCGCUAUUAGAUUUAUGUUCUC
Long non-coding RNA from Alnus glutinosa, 576 nucleotides. RefSeq lists it as uncharacterized. The record is from RefSeq and is a predicted model, not a curated record. The transcript has 3 exons. Lineage: Eukaryota; Viridiplantae; Streptophyta; Magnoliopsida; Fagales; Betulaceae.